RNAcentral lists this ribosomal RNA (837 nucleotides) under Scorias leucadendri. RNAcentral's name for it is "partial large subunit ribosomal RNA". It matches the Rfam family "Eukaryotic large subunit ribosomal RNA", at positions 75 to 935 of the family's 3401-position model. Lineage: Eukaryota; Fungi; Ascomycota; Dothideomycetes; Capnodiales; Readerielliopsidaceae. The record is from RNAcentral.
UUGCCUCAGUAACGGCGAGUGAAGCGGCAACAGCUCAAAUUUGAAAUCUGGCGUCUUCGGCGUCCGAGUUGUAAUUUGUAGAGGAUGCUUCUGGGCAGCCACCGGUCUAAGUGCCUUGGAACAGGCCGUCAUAGAGGGUGAGAAUCCCGUAUGUGACCGGAAGGGCACCCUCCACGUAGCUCCUUCGAAGAGUCGAGUUGUUUGGGAAUGCAGCUCAAAAUGGGAGGUAAAUUUCUUCUAAAGCUAAAUACCGGCCAGAGACCGAUAGCGCACAAGUAGAGUGAUCGAAAGAUGAAAAGCACUUUGGAAAGAGAGUUAAAAAGCACGUGAAAUUGUUGAAAGGGAAGCGCUUGCAACCAGACUUGCCUGCGGUGUUCCGCCGGUCUUCUGACCGGUUCAUUCGCCGCCUGCAGGCCAGCAUCGUUUGGGGCCGCCGGAUAAAAGCGUCGGGAAUGUGGCUCCCCUCGGGGAGUGUUAUAGCCCGGCGUGCAAUACGGCGCGUCCCGAGCGAGGUCCGCGCUUCGGCUAGGAUGCUGGCGUAAUGGUUGUAAGCGGCCCGUCUUGAAACACGGACCAAGGAGUCUAACAUCUAUGCGAGUGUUCGGGUGUCAAACCCCUACGCGUAAUGAAAGUGAACGGAGGUGGGAACUUUUUGUGCACCAUCGACCGAUCCUGAUGUCUUCGGAUGGAUUUGAGUAAGAGCAUAGCUGUUGGGACCCGAAAGAUGGUGAACUAUGCCUGAAUAGGGUGAAGCCAGAGGAAACUCUGGUGGAGGCUCGCAGCGGUUCUGACGUGCAAAUCGAUCGUCAAAUUUGGGUAUAGGGGCGAAAGACUAAU